AUCUGACUGGCUUAAUUGGUGGAGCACGGGACUCUUGAUCUUGAGGUUGUGGGUUUGAGCCCCAUGUUUGGUA
This 73-nucleotide transfer RNA is filed under the name Canis lupus familiaris (dog). It matches the Rfam family "tRNA". From Rfam's summary of the family: Transfer RNA (tRNA) molecules are approximately 80 nucleotides in length. Their secondary structure includes four short double-helical elements and three loops (D, anti-codon, and T loops). Further hydrogen bonds mediate the characteristic L-shaped molecular structure. tRNAs have two regions of fundamental functional importance: the anti-codon, which is responsible for specific mRNA codon recognition, and the 3' end, to which the tRNAs corresponding amino acid is attached (by aminoacyl-tRNA synthetases). tRNAs cope with the degeneracy of the genetic code in two manners: having more than one tRNA (with a specific anti-codon) for a particular amino acid; and 'wobble' base-pairing, i.e. permitting non-standard base-pairing at the 3rd anti-codon position. The record is from Rfam by way of RNAcentral. RNAcentral also lists the same sequence under 3 other names. Lineage: Eukaryota; Metazoa; Chordata; Mammalia; Carnivora; Canidae.